UGCCAGUUUAGUAGCAUCAAGAUGCUCUCACAGACUCAGCUUCUCUGGCUGCUAGUGCUCUGCAUUCAGGACUCCCACGGGGACAUUGUGAUGACUCAGACUCCAGAAUCUCUGGCAGUGUCUCCUGGAGACAGAGUCACCAUCAACUGCAAAGCCAGUUCCAGUGUUAGCAGCUACAUGGCCUGGUACCAACAGAAACCAGGACAAGCUCCUAAGCUCCUUAUCCACAGCGCUUCCACCCGCCCCUCUGGGAUCCCAGACCGGUUCAGUGGCUGUGGGUCGGGCACUGACUUCACUUUUAAAAUCAGCCGGGUUGAAGCUGAUGAUACUGGAGAUUAUUACUGUCAGCAGGGCUGGAUCUCACCUCCUAAGACAGUCAGAGGAUCUAACAGCUCCUCAGUCAGGUGAUGAGGUGGACAAAGAGCUGUCCUGCUAUCUUCUAAAGCAUCCAGGGCACCAUGUUCCACCCAGGAGAAGCAGGAGCGGAGAGGAAGCCCCAUUCUCUGCAGUCCUCACCAUACCAGAAUCACUAGGAAUAGCUUCCAGUGUUACAGUAGGCCCUGCAUGCCUGCAAUGUUACCUAAUGGCGUAGCAUAAGAACAAACACAACCUCCUCCUGUACAGACUCAUUUUCUAUCACUUGGGUUCCACCAGGCCCAGGCUCUAUCAGCUACUUGUCUGACUGAGUGCUGUUAAAGUGAUGGAGCAGGGCUCAAAGGAAGCAGAAAUGAACUGGGAUCCAGCUCUGUGGCCUAGCACCCCUUCCCCAGAUCGGGGAGAAGCUCUUCUGUACCUGACGCCUUUAUAAAAUACACGUUCAGAAAGGACAGGGAGGGGGAAAAUAGAGGAGGUGUUGCCUUGCAUCUUGAAGAUGAAUACGCUUGUACGGAGGUUGAGAUAGAAGUAGGAGCCAGACCCACUGAAAGUCUCUGUGUAAGAAUGAAAGGGGUAAAAAACAAGGGUGAUGUCACAAUAGGGGUCUGCUAUAGACCACCU
Chrysemys picta bellii (western painted turtle) is the source of this 996-nucleotide non-coding RNA. The record is from the annotation of a RefSeq genome assembly. NCBI's taxonomy places the organism in Eukaryota, Metazoa, Chordata, Testudines, Emydidae.